UGGGGAAUUUUGGACAAUGGGCGAAAGCCUGAUCCAGCAAUGCCGCGUGUGUGAAGAAGGCCCUUCGGGUUGUAAAGCACUUUUGUCCGGAAAGAAAUCCUUGGCUCUAAUACAGUCGGGGGGAUGACGGUACCGGAAGAAUAAGCACCGGCUAACUACGUGCCAGCAGCCGCGGUAAUACGUAGGGUGCAAGCGUUAAUCGGAAUUACUGGGCGUAAGCGUGCGCAGGCGGUUUGCUAAGACCGAUGUGAAAUCCCCGGGCUCAACCUGGGAACUGCAUUGGUGACUGGCAGGCUAGAGUAUGGCAGAGGGGGGUUAGAAUUCCACGUGUAGCAGUGAAAUGCGUAGAGAUGUGGAGGAAUACCGAUGGCGAAGGCAGCCCCCUGGGCCAAUACUGACGCUCAUGCACGAAAGCGUGGGGAGCAAACAGGAUUAGAUACCCUGGUAGUCCACG
Molecule: ribosomal RNA, 454 nt
Filed under: uncultured bacterium
Lineage: Bacteria
Description: partial 16S ribosomal RNA
Rfam family: Bacterial small subunit ribosomal RNA
Source: RNAcentral